UGUUGACCUCGGAUCAGGUAGGAAUACCCGCUGAACUUAAGCAUAUCAAUAAGCGGAGGAA
Molecule: ribosomal RNA, 61 nt
Filed under: Fusarium concentricum
Lineage: Eukaryota; Fungi; Ascomycota; Sordariomycetes; Hypocreales; Nectriaceae
Also listed under: 2 other names
Description: partial 28S ribosomal RNA
Rfam family: Eukaryotic large subunit ribosomal RNA
Source: RNAcentral